AUGGCGGUGGCGUAGUGGUUAGCACAUUUUCCUCAGGUUCGAUUUCCUCAGGUUCGAUUCCUGCCGCCGCCCUG
Non-coding RNA from Ameiurus melas (black bullhead), 74 nucleotides. The record is from the annotation of a GenBank genome assembly. Lineage: Eukaryota; Metazoa; Chordata; Actinopteri; Siluriformes; Ictaluridae.